Molecule: long non-coding RNA, 712 nt
Organism: Uranotaenia lowii
Lineage: Eukaryota; Metazoa; Arthropoda; Insecta; Diptera; Culicidae
Exons: 3
Source: RefSeq, a predicted model, not a curated record
UCUGGAAAAAAAAGUCAGGCAAGGACAGGCGGAAAAGUCCAGCUGGUGGCGAAGUCGCCGAAAAACGGCAGCCAAUUGCCGCAGUUCUUCUCCACCACAAAGCCCGAAAACGAUUCUGCUCCACCAACAAGUGCCAGCAACUUUGUCGCUAGUACGCGAACCGUGCAUUCCUUCCGACAACAUCACUCUCGGAACCACAGAUUUCGCUCGGCGGCAAAGCCAAAAGGAAAAAUCCGCCUCCACCCAAAGCGAACACGAGGUGAUCGCUGGGGAGGAUUUCUACCAGCCAAAGGGUCGUAAGAGUGAGACCACGAUUUUUCACUAUUCCCGUUGCUGAUCGGAACUUUUCAUCCGACAGGGCCCUUUUUUGUGAUACACAAUUCUUCGCAAAUCACCUCGCGAAUCUAUUUUUCAAAUGACUGGCUCCCGUAUCGACCUUUGUCGUACACUUCGCUUUCCCUUCCGGGAACAGUGGAUCAAAGCAGAACAUGGAGAAUCCGGGAACCACUUGCUGCAGAAUAGCCUGCUUGGCACAUAAUCAAGGUCGGAAAUACUACCAAAUUUUCGUCCACGCCGAGCCGCCCUCUAGAAGCUGUAAGGAGGAGCACCUCGUGGCCUUUCUUUUCGAGGAUCUGAGGCACAACAUUAUCGAUCUUGGGACAGCUGAUGACAGAGCGGUCCGUCCCUUCAUCGAGAACACACUGGGUCGACG